UAUGUCUGUUUACUGGCUUGGUGAAUACUUCAAUCCUCCCUCAGGUUUGACCCAGAUCGAUUCGAGGAAGAAUCGGCCAGGAAGAGCUUCUGUCUGCUCGGAUUCUCAGGGAAUCAGACGUGUCCAGAGCUCAGGUUUGCCUACACUGUGGCUACGGUCGUCCUCAGCACGUUGGUGCGGCAGCUGAAGCUCCACCGACUGAAGGGGCAAGUGGCCGAGAUCCGAUCCAAGCUGGUAUCCGCACCGAAGGACGAAACCUGGAUCACCGUCAGCAGAAGAAGCAGCUAAAACAAAGAUUUAGAGAAAACGAUGAAGAGCAAAGAGCAACACAUUUAACAUCACUGAAUGAAAUUACCAGCAGAGUAUUCCCUGUUAGACGUCAUCGUAGUUUCCCAUCAUGAUGCGAGUAGUUUGGACUGACACUCUUAAUUUGUAGGAUUUUAAAGGCUGUUUCACCCACUUUGUACCACCACUGAGGCCUUAAGCAUGACAUUAGCUUUUUCCGCUCAGAGGUUUAGUUUGUCGAACGCUUCCUGUCUCUUCAGGGAGGGAGGCUCGACGAGUAAAGCUCUGUGACGUCGAGAAAAAUGACUUGCGCUGCUAAAACUUUCUGUAUUUUCAGAACAGCUGGUUAGAGUCAGAGUCAGGGGGCUUGUUUGUGUAUCUGAAAAUGAACCAAGCUGCAUUUACAUUUCAUUCCUUUUUACAUCCUGUAUAUUAAAAAAUGGAUGAAGA
Molecule: non-coding RNA, 735 nt
Organism: Neolamprologus brichardi
Lineage: Eukaryota; Metazoa; Chordata; Actinopteri; Cichliformes; Cichlidae
Source: RefSeq, a predicted model, not a curated record